UCAGGCUGGAUCACCUCCUUAGAGUUUGAUCCUGGCUCAGAUUGAACGCUGGCGGCAUGCCUUACACAUGCAAGUCGAACGGUAACAGGUCUUCGGAUGCUGACGAGUGGCGAACGGGUGAGUAAUACAUCGGAACGUGCCCGAUCGUGGGGGAUAACGAGGCGAAAGCUUUGCUAAUACCGCAUACGAUCUACGGAUGAAAGCGGGGGAUCUUCGGACCUCGCGCGGACGGAGCGGCCGAUGGCAGAUUAGGUAGUUGGUGGGAUAAAAGCUUACCAAGCCGACGAUCUGUAGCUGGUCUGAGAGGAUGAUCAGCCACACUGGGACUGAGACACGGCCCAGACUCCUACGGGAGGCAGCAGUGGGGAAUUUUGGACAAUGGGCGAAAGCCUGAUCCAGCCAUGCCGCGUGCAGGAUGAAGGCCUUCGGGUUGUAAACUNCUUUUGUACGGAACGAAAAGCCUCUUUCUAAUAAAUAGGGGUCAGACAGGUACCGUAAG
This 499-nucleotide ribosomal RNA is filed under the name Acidovorax sp. FBR-G1. RNAcentral's name for it is "bacterial SSU rRNA". It matches the Rfam family "Bacterial small subunit ribosomal RNA", at positions 1 to 484 of the family's 1533-position model. Lineage: Bacteria; Pseudomonadati; Pseudomonadota; Betaproteobacteria; Burkholderiales; Comamonadaceae. The record is from RNAcentral.